CCUACGGGUGGCAGCAGUAGGGAAUUUUCGUCAAUGGGCGCAAGCCUGAACGAGCGAUGCCGCGUGAGUGAAGAAGGCCUUCGGGUCGUAAAGCUCUAUUGCGGGGGAAGAAGGCAGAAUCAGGCCAUGGGUGCUGACUGAUGGUGCCCCGCCAGAAAGUCACGGCUAACUACGUGCCAGCAGCCGCGGUAAGACAUAGGUGGCGAGCGUUAUCCGGAAUGAUUGGGCGUAAAGGGUGCGUAGGCGGUCCUGGAAGUCUGGAGUGAAACGCAUGAGCUCAACUCAUGCAUUGCUUUGGAAACUGGAGGACUGGAGAGCAGGAGAGGGCGGUGGAACUCCAUGUGUAGCGGUAAAAUGCGUAGAUAUAAGGAAGAACACCAGUGGCGAAGGCGGCCGCCUGGCCUGUUGCUGACGCUGAGGCACGAAAGCGUGGGGAGCAAACAGGAUUAGAUACCCGAGUAGUC
This 464-nucleotide ribosomal RNA is filed under the name uncultured bacterium. RNAcentral describes it as "partial 16S ribosomal RNA". It matches the Rfam family "Bacterial small subunit ribosomal RNA", at positions 338 to 795 of the family's 1533-position model. The record is from RNAcentral.